Non-coding RNA from Acanthosepion pharaonis, 111 nucleotides. NCBI's taxonomy places the organism in Eukaryota, Metazoa, Mollusca, Cephalopoda, Sepiida, Sepiidae. The record is from the annotation of a GenBank genome assembly.
CAACCACAUCAUCUUGAAAUACUGGUUCACAUAAGAUCACUGAAGUUAAGCACCAUCCAGCCUGGUCAGUACCUAUAUGGGUGACUGCUUGAGAAUACCAGGUGUUGUAAG